This 597-nucleotide long non-coding RNA is filed under the name Androctonus crassicauda. Lineage: Eukaryota; Metazoa; Arthropoda; Arachnida; Scorpiones; Buthidae. The record is from RNAcentral.
CUUGAUCUUCUUAACUGCUUUUGCUAGUUCUUGUGAUACUAUUGCUGGGAUAUCUUUUGUAUUGUUACUCAUAGAAGGUUCCUGUUUUUUUGUAUAUUGGCUCUGUUGAUAAGCUCUCUUUUAUCAUUGAUUGUAUUUAGUUUGUUUGCCAGUCCUUAUGCCUCUCCAUGCUGAAGAGGCAUAAUGACUCUUUAGCUAUUGCUUUUCUCAAUGAUCAUUUGAAUCUUUUCUGCAUUAAAUCGUCAUAUAUCUUCUCUGAUUUCUUUUGUACUACAGUACUUUGCACAAAAGAAAAUCAGCUGCUUUUUCUCUAUAUUUUGUCUGGUUGGUAAUGGAUUUUAUCUUCAUCUUCCUUCUCUUUUUGAUCAGGGUGUUGAAUUGAUUGAAUAUGAAAAUAUCUUUUGAUUGUGCAGUUGUUGUUGGCCAGGAUAAAGUCAAUCUCGUUCUUUCUAUUGGGGCUGAUCUAUGUCCAUUUUUAUUGCUCUUUCUUGUUGAAGAAGGUGUUAUCCUCCUGGAUCCAAUGGGAUGGUUAGAACGGGCAUUAGCCUACUGCGGUUGUGAUAUAAUCACAUGGGUAAGAAUUGCAGAGUGAGAAGA